This 465-nucleotide ribosomal RNA is filed under the name uncultured bacterium. RNAcentral's name for it is "partial 16S ribosomal RNA". It matches the Rfam family "Bacterial small subunit ribosomal RNA", at positions 28 to 507 of the family's 1533-position model. The record is from RNAcentral.
GACGAACGCUGGCGGCGUGCUUAACACAUGCAAGUCGAACGGAAAGGCCCUGCUUGCAGGGUACUCGAGUGGCGAACGGGUGAGUAACACGUGGGUGAUCUGCCCUGCACUUCGGGAUAAGCCUGGGAAACUGGGUCUAAUACCGGAUAGGAGCCAUUCUUAGUGUGAUGGUUGGAAAGUUUUUUCGGUGUAGGAUGAGCUCGCGGCCUAUCAGUUUGUUGGUGGGGUAAUGGCCUACCAAGGCGGCGACGGGUAGCCGGCCUGAGAGGGUGGACGGCCACAUUGGGACUGAGAUACGGCCCAGACACCUACGGGAGGCAGCAGUGGGGAAUAUUGCACAAUGGGCGCAAGCCUGAUGCAGCGACGCCGCGUGGGGGAUGACGGCCUUCGGGUUGUAAACUCCUUUCGCUAGGGACGAAGCUUUUUGUGACGGUACCUAGAUAAGAAGCACCGGCUAACUACGUG